This is a long non-coding RNA of Tarenaya hassleriana, 880 nucleotides long. RefSeq lists it as uncharacterized. The record is from RefSeq and is a predicted model, not a curated record. The transcript is spliced from 3 exons. NCBI's taxonomy places the organism in Eukaryota, Viridiplantae, Streptophyta, Magnoliopsida, Brassicales, Cleomaceae.
UGCUUUAGUUUCCCAGGAUAUACUAGGAUUGAAAUUUCAAAAAAAAUGGUGCUUUCUUGGGAUUUUCUUGCAACUAAAAGCUGGCUUUUUGGAUAUUCUAUAAUUUCUAUUAUAGUAGAGAUUUCAUUUCAUGGUGGUUUUUGCGGUAUCAUCUUGGGAAACCUACAAGAUGAUUUGCAUCUUAGAAGAAAUCUCUUGAUAGCACUUUUCGGAACCCAAAUCGAAGGUAUGUUGAAUUGUUUUUUAUAAUAAAUAUAGAUGUUAUCAUUUUCAUAGACAAGGGUCUCUUAUUGAAAGAAAAAGAUUAGUUUGAUGAUUUUGAUACCGUUCUUUGUAUAUAUAGGUGGUUAUUGAAUAAGUCUUUGUAUGUGAUAUAAGAUAUCACUAAACCACUGUUUUGAGUUGUUUUUCUCAUAAUGUUGGACAGUAGUUGGAUCUUUAGGUCUAUUUAGUGCAUUUGACAGUUUGAGUACAAUUUUGAUAUCCAUAGUUUUUACCAUUAGAUUUCUGUUUCUGGUUCUAGUGACAACAUGAUUUCGAAACGUAAAAUAUUAUCCCAUUGAGCAUCUCGAUAUGUUAUGGAGUUCAUCGUUUCACAUAUAUCAGAUUGUAUGUCAUCUUCCCAUUGUUGACUUCAUUGAUCUCACUGUACCGACCACUCAAUCAUGUUUGAGCCUUGAUUUUUCACUGACACAAUUCCAUUUGUUCUUUUUCCAUGAGUGAGGGCAUUGUCUUAAUGUUGAAAGAAUGUUUGGACCCUUUGGUUCAAAUGGCGGUGAGUAGAAGAAACUUGCAAAAUAUGGCCACGCUGGCCUAACACAAGACGCUGGAGGCCUACAAGAUCUCUUGAUAGCAUUUUUCGGAACUCAAAUCGGGAAGG